Long non-coding RNA from Lates calcarifer (barramundi perch), 3169 nucleotides. RefSeq lists it as uncharacterized. The transcript has 3 exons. The record is from RefSeq and is a predicted model, not a curated record. NCBI's taxonomy places the organism in Eukaryota, Metazoa, Chordata, Actinopteri, Centropomidae.
CACAAAGAUUAUCUUUCUCCCUCCCUGGAGGCAUGAAGCAUCUUAUCAACAACAAAGCGCUGUGUUGGGUCAUACCAUGUAACUGCAGCCACAGUGACAAUAUGGCAUGUGCAUUCGUGUCAGCCACUGGUGUUAUGUCACAUGGCAGGUACAGGGUGAUGAGACUGGUGUCAUACGGUUAUCCUUUGAUACCUCUUCUGCACACAGACGUAAAAAUAAAGGUUUGAGAGAAGUUGUGUAACACAGAGCAAGGCAUGAGGACAUAUUGGUAUAUGAUAAAAGAGAGAAGUGCUGUUACAAAAUCUCUUCAGUGGCUAAUAAGGAUGUAGUUAUGAUCUCUGUUGAAAGCUCCAUCCCACUUGAGUGAGCUCAGCAUGCUCCCCGAGUCUCCUCCGUCUCAAACAGCAAAAUGUACUCACUGGGGUUAACCAAGAGGAGAGAGAGAAGGUUAAUGACGCACAGUGGGAAAUCAACCUCUAAGUAUCACAGAUAAUAUCACAAGAAAUGGAUAGAGAGGUAUAGGUGUGAAAGAGAAUGGGUAGAAAUAGGCGAUGUGAGGAGAGCAGGUGAAAGGAUUCUGAGGGGGGAAAAAAAUUGCAGGGAAAGCAGUGAGAAGUUAUAGUCACAGAAAUAUAAUUGAUGGACAAAUAGAGCUCAGAAACGCAGGAUGUAUGAUUAUCUCCUGCGCUCACAUUAGAGCCCACACAGACCAUUAGAUGUGAGCCCAGCUUGAACCAAUUUGGAAAUUAUCUAUUCAAGAAAAUCUUGAGUGGCAAGAACACAACACUCAGCCUUUUACCAGCACAAUACCAGUUGCAUUUUUGUCAUCUUGGUGGCAGAUAGUGGGGGAGGCGGAGAUGCGCGCGAGGGUGCAGCGUCUUGCUUAGAUGGAUGGACAGGUGGGAAGACCGGCAGAAAUUAGGUCAGCAAAUAUUAUAAAAGGGUGCGGUGUUGUUUUGGAAACAAUGUAGGAGGGGAGAGAGGGAGCGAGAAAGAUCUGGAACAAGGGAGGGAUGGAGAGGAAGAGUGGAGUGAGGCUGGCACUAAUGACGGGCGUGCCCAGGGCCACACAAGUACAGCUGUCUCCCUUCCCAACUUCAGCAAUGUCAGAUCAGCAUAAUAAAACCCAGUGUGUUGGUCUGUGCUCACAGGAACAGCUGGGUGGCUUGGUGGAAAAAAAACAACAAAAAAAAAAACACAUGAACAAGGGAGAGGAGAAUUGUGCAUCACCAAAUCCUAUGCUUCGAGCUUGUAGAGUUUCUUGAACAAAUCCUGGAGGUGCUCAGAGGGGAUUGUAGUUUAGAGAGGAGCAAGUGAUGGUGGACACUUAAACCUCUGGCAGCUUGGACAAAUCACUUUGCUUUCAUUGAGUUUCCAGUGGCUGAUGUCAGAAUGGGUCCAGAGUGCGCUGAGUCACACAUAUGCAGGUUCUGCCCACCACCUAGUCUGUGUGUUUGUGCCCUUAGUGGCCUUGUGAAAAGAAUGGACGCACGCACAUCGCAUGAAGUCAGAGGUACUUCUGCAACCUCACCUCACACCCAGGGUCCCUUAUCGCUGAUAUCAUACACCCAGGUCUUACAGGGCUUAACCCUGAACACACAAACAGAUAAAGUCAGCUCAGAGACUACCUAUACCGGACUUGAUCUUUACAUAUUAUUUGCACUUUUAUUGGAUGGGCCUACAUGUAGGAGGAUAUCUGCCUGUCUGACUCACUCCUUGUCUGUCUGACCACCCCCUCCUUCUAGCCUGCCAGCACUCUCUUUGUGUCUCUCGCUGUCUCUUUCUCCUCCUCUCUCGCCUGUGUUUGUGUUAAUCAUUGCUGAGGUGAUGUGGGCCAGGCAGAACCAGCGGAUAACGCGAUUAGAAGGGGCUCAGGCGCAAAGUCUCUACUCUGAUCGUCCCCAUCAUCUGGGACUCCAGUCACAUUUUUUGGGGGAUCUCCGGGUGGAAAAUGGCCUUGAUAAGAUCUUCAGACUUGUUACUUAAGGCCUCCAGAGGCUCCACAGAUGAAUGAAGCAUUGGAUCAGCACCAUAAACUCAACAACACAGUAAAUAUUAUACCAAUACUUCAGAUCAAGCCUCACAAAUCCAAUGGGAGGGAUGAGAAGAGCGGGAAGCGGAGUGGGAGGAAGAGAUGGAUUGAAGAGUGAAGAUACUGAAAACGAAGAGAGAGAGAGAGAGAGAGAAAAAAAAACACAAACAGAGCUGAUAAGGCCUUCGGCAGAGGAAGUGUCGUUCUCGGCCAAUCCCCAGCGGACUCCCAGUAUCCCACUCUUCCCCCUGCUGCAGGAUGUGUCCCCCGUGUGGGAAUACGCAAAGAAUGCAGCCCCUUUUGUUUAGUGUGCGAUAGGCUCCUGGUUGGCGGUCAUUUGUGUGUCUUAUGUGUGACAAGCUCCAGGCUUGGCAGGGGCUGAUCACAGCAACAUUCAGCAGUCCUUUCUGGGUAAGACCCUCCUAGGAAAACAAUGACUGGUCUUAUGGCUGCUAUCUUUCAAAGCCUCUCCUUGGCUGAUGGAACACUUGCUGGGCUCUCACUGCGCUUCAUAUCCCAAAGACUACAGUUUAAACAAAGAGCUAAGAAGGCAUCUACAUCAGUGGUUCCCAACUUUUUUUUUUUUUCCUUUUGUCAGAUCUACCCCUAAAGCCCUAUCAGAUUAACUCAAGUACCCCCUUACUGACACCACUUAUCAUGUUCCAAAAGUGUUCAUUUGAACUGGAUGCUAUCAUUCUCAUUAAAGUAUCUAGUGUAAGUACGUAACUACAUACUAACAAAAGCUGGAUGUUUCAACCUCUGUCAAAGUUACUUUUAGUUCACAACAAUUCAGCCAUUUUUUUUAGCUUUCUCACCUGUUACCUCGACAUUUUAAUAUUAGUUAUUAUAACUGUUUUCUAGUACUUUUAGCUAACUAUUUUAAGAAUUUAUCCAUCACUAUUGGCUAACUACAAUUCAUUAGCUACUUCCAAGUACGUGUUUCAGCACCUUAUCUGUUACUUUUAGCUGUUAGACUUGCCCACUCACUUGGUAACUCAAUUUCAUGUACACUUAAAGAGUAAUACACUGUAGUCAAACAGCCUUGGUUGGGUACUACUGAGCUACAUCAAAGCAGUUUCAUCAAAAAAGUGAUAUCUUCAUUUCAUUCAAUGGACCAAUAAACUUCUUUCAUCAGAA